Long non-coding RNA from Daucus carota subsp. sativus, 392 nucleotides. RefSeq lists it as uncharacterized. The record is from RefSeq and is a predicted model, not a curated record. The transcript has 2 exons. Lineage: Eukaryota; Viridiplantae; Streptophyta; Magnoliopsida; Apiales; Apiaceae.
GCUUAAAAAACUCAACAUAUAUCUCGCUCAAACUAUGGGGUUAACAAAUGAGCCUGACCUAAGAAUAGGGGCUAGUAAUAUGAGGAAAGAGCACCGCCGCAGGGGAAGAGAGAGAAAAAUGAAAAGAGGAGGCGGAUGAACAAGCAAUAUCUAAAUUAAAAAAUCUCCAGGUGUCGCUUUUUGGUUUGGGGGAUUUUACUUUUACUGUUGCGAAAGGUUUUUUACGAGUAUGAGGGCAAAAGAAUAGUGCGGUGUGGAGCUUUCGCAGGAGCACUUUGGCGCCUCGUCGACAUAAUCAUUUUUAUCGUUUUGUUGGAGGUACUGUAACAUUGUGUAGUUGAAUAUAAAUCUUUAACUCAUUGAAUAUAAUAGUGUGUGCUUGGUUUUUUGUA